GAUGAACGCUGGCGGCGUGCUUAACACAUGCAAGUCGAACGAAGCAUUUAGAACGGAUUACUUCGGUUUGAAGUUCUUUAUGACUGAGUGGCGGACGGGUGAGUAACGCGUGGGUAACCUGCCUUGUACUGGGGGAUAGCAGCUGGAAACGGCUGGUAAUACCGCAUAAGCGCACGGUGCUGCAUGGCACAGUGUGAAAAACUCCGGUGGUAUAAGAUGGACCCGCGUCUGAUUAGCUAGUUGGUGAGAUAACAGCCCACCAAGGCGACGAUCAGUAGCCGACCUGAGAGGGUGACCGGCCACAUUGGGACUGAGACACGGCCCAAACUCCUACGGGAGGCAGCAGUGGGGAAUAUUGCACAAUGGGCGAAAGCCUGAUGCAGCGACGCCGCGUGAGCGAAGAAGUAUUUCGGUAUGUAAAGCUCUAUCAGCAGGGAAGAUAAUGACGGUACCUGACUAAGAAGCACCGGCUAAAUACGUGCCAG
Molecule: ribosomal RNA, 485 nt
Filed under: uncultured bacterium
Lineage: Bacteria
Description: bacterial SSU rRNA
Rfam family: Bacterial small subunit ribosomal RNA
Source: RNAcentral